GCAGGGGGAGCAAGAUGAAGUCACAGACCCAGGUCCUCACAUCCCUGCUGCUAUGGGUAUCUGGUGCCUGUGCAGACAUUGUCAUGACUCAGUCUCCAUCCUCCCUGGCUGUGUCAGCAGGAGAGAAGGUCUCCAUCAGCUGCAGGUCCAGUCAGAGCCUUUAUCACAGCAGCAGCAAAAAGAACUUAUUGGCCUGGUACCAGCAGAAAUCAGGGCAAUCCCCUAAGCUUCUGAUCUACUGGGCAUCCACUCGGGACACUGGGGUCCCUGAUCGCUUCACAGGCAGUGGAUCUGGGACGGAUUUCACUCUCACAAUCAGCAGUGUGCAGGCUGAAGACCUGGCAGUUUAUUACUGUCAGCAGGGUUACAGCUAUCCUCCCACAGUGCUUCAGCCUCCAACACAAACCUCACCAGCUGCCUACAGCACACACAGUCCUGGCCCUGCACACUUCCCCCUUUUCAGUGAUAGAGGGUGUGGCUGA
Molecule: non-coding RNA, 482 nt
Organism: Psammomys obesus (fat sand rat)
Lineage: Eukaryota; Metazoa; Chordata; Mammalia; Rodentia; Muridae
Source: the annotation of a RefSeq genome assembly